Molecule: small nucleolar RNA, 126 nt
Organism: Ochotona curzoniae (black-lipped pika)
Lineage: Eukaryota; Metazoa; Chordata; Mammalia; Lagomorpha; Ochotonidae
Product: small nucleolar RNA ACA64
Exons: 1
Source: RefSeq, a predicted model, not a curated record
UUUGGUUCAAAAUCGUCCUGACUUUGGCUGGGGCCAUGGGUGAGAUUCAGCGCCUAGAGCCACCAGGAGCUUCAGCUCACCACCGCAGCUUUGGUGUGGAGAGGUGAAACCCAGGCUCCAACAGAU